Molecule: long non-coding RNA, 329 nt
Filed under: Salvia miltiorrhiza (redroot sage)
Lineage: Eukaryota; Viridiplantae; Streptophyta; Magnoliopsida; Lamiales; Lamiaceae
Description: long non-coding RNA (SMIL_LNC013932)
Source: RNAcentral
UGAUUACCUUGAAUGUUUGUGCUUUUGGUUGGCUGCGGUGAUGUUGAGUUCAAUGAGAAAAUAGCUGAAAACAAAUUGUGUAUUUUGUUUGCUUAACAAUGCAGGAGGAACUUAGGAAGAAACUGGAGAGGAUCAGGUCAAUCUUACCUCUCGAAUCUUGCAGCAACUAUGACAACUUCCUCAAGCUGUUGAUGCGUAAAGAGAGAAGGAUUUUUGGUGGAUGAUAUAAUAAGGAGUGAAGUUGGUGGCUGUAAAGGGAGGAAAGCAUGGCUUUUGGUGGUUGAAGAGGUGGGGAUCAAAGGAUGGUGGCAGCACACUUAUUUCUUUCC